GACGAACGCUGGCGGCGUGCUUAACACAUGCAAGUCGAACGGAAAGGCCCCCUUGUGGGGUACUCGAGUUGCGAACGGGUGAGUAACACGUGAGUAACCUACCCUUGACUUUGGGAUAACUUCAGGAAACUGGGGCUAAUACCGGAUAGGAGCUCCUUCUGCAUGGUGGGGGUUGGAAAGUUUCGGCGGUUGGGGAUGGACUCGCGGCUUAUCAGCUUGUUGGUGGGGUAGUGGCUCACAAAGGCUUUGACGGGUAGCCGGCCUGAGAGGGUGACCGGCUACAUUGGGACACGGAUAAGGCGCAGAAUGCUUCGUGAGGUAGUGGUGGGGAUUCUUGGGAAAUGGGCGAAGGCGUGAUGGAGGAUCGUCGCGUUGGGGAUGACGGUUUUCGGGUUGUAAAUCAAUUUCGCGUGGAUCGAAGCGUCAGUGACUGUAAUGGGGAAAGAGGCAACGGUUAACUCUGU
RNAcentral lists this ribosomal RNA (464 nucleotides) under uncultured bacterium. Its description in RNAcentral is "partial 16S ribosomal RNA". It matches the Rfam family "Bacterial small subunit ribosomal RNA", at positions 28 to 506 of the family's 1533-position model. The record is from RNAcentral.